Molecule: non-coding RNA, 27 nt
Filed under: Rattus norvegicus (Norway rat)
Lineage: Eukaryota; Metazoa; Chordata; Mammalia; Rodentia; Muridae
Source: RNAcentral
GAUAGCAAACCAUAGUCAGGCUGCAUU